This 395-nucleotide unclassified non-coding RNA is filed under the name Bombus terrestris (buff-tailed bumblebee). RNAcentral describes it as "misc RNA ENSBTSG00005022965.1". Lineage: Eukaryota; Metazoa; Arthropoda; Insecta; Hymenoptera; Apidae. The record is from RNAcentral.
GUUGAUACUUAGAAGUAACGACAGUAGUUUAGUAGUAGUGAUAUUAUUAUUUUAAUAGUAAACUUAUUUUGGAAGAAAGCUAUAAACAACGAAAGCGAAAAAUGAUGCAGUAUAUUUAAUAUUUUGAAUAAUGAAUUAAGAUAAGCGACGAGAACAUCAGGGUUAAAUGGGUUGAAUUAAUACAGCGCGUAAUCCAUUGUGAUUUUUCAAGUUUUUUGGUAUUUACACAUCUGUUAAAUUAUAACGAACGAGAAAUAAUAUGACUGACUGGGUGUAAACUUAUUCCUAAAGGUGAUGAAGCCUGAAUUAUUGUUAGCCUGAGUUAAGUUGGGUUUUCGAAGAACCUGACCAAUGGUGGAUGGAAGUUUGGCAACACAAUGGAAAAUUCUGCCAGG